Molecule: long non-coding RNA, 992 nt
Organism: Ficedula albicollis (Collared flycatcher)
Lineage: Eukaryota; Metazoa; Chordata; Aves; Passeriformes; Muscicapidae
Exons: 3
Source: RefSeq, a predicted model, not a curated record
AGUCAGGGUGGGGCUGAAGGAGAUGGUUGUUUUGGAUCUGGCAAAGCAAACAAAACCAGCACUGUGUAUGUGCCUGCUCUCUCUUUUCUCCAGGUGUUUAUUUGUGACCAAUGCAGGGACAAACCAGAGAUUUAGGGAGUGACCUGGCUACACAGGAGUGCAAUGAGGACAGAACAUCUGACUUUCUUCUCCAUAACAUACAGGCACUCCAGGGGAAGCCGCUUACUCAUCCCAUGAAGCUUCCUGGAAACGGAGCAAACGGCAAUGCCACCACAAUACCUAUGACUGCAUGACCAAAACAGCACAGAGGGAGCACCCUGUGAGCUAACUUUUGCCAUGACAAACCCAGAAAAAAGUUCUCUGAGCAUGACCAGGGCUGCUGGCAAGGGGAGAAGGCCUCAAAGAAGCACAGGAGAGAUUUAAAGGACAGAGCAACAACAUUUUAUACUUUUCACCUCUUCUCUUGCCUCAUGAAAUUAAGUAAAAAGGUACAGAGAAUGCUCCAGAUACCAUUUCAACCCACAAGCAGCAAGGGUCAAAGACAGCCGUAUCAGACACCACUGCUCAAGUGAUCUACAUCCAUGUCUAAAACAUGCAGCCUUGGUCCAAAUCAGUGCCAGAAUUAGACUCUGUAUAUUUGAACGAGAAAUGCCAGUGCUGUGUGGCUGAAGACCCGGAUAAGACCAGAACAGGGCAGGAGGAAAGAAUACAUGUAUCACAAGAGCCUUCAACAGCAAGCAAAUAUUUUUGCAAACAAUCUUUUCAGGAAGGGAAAGACUUAAUAUUUCCAUACUGCAAAAAAUAUCCUGAAAUAAAGCCAUCAUACACUUUGAGUCACAAACAACAUUUAGGGCACAUAAGAUUAACUUCUGAGAUUUCUGAGAUAAAAAGAAGAUUCACAGAAGUCUGCUUCUGGAAGAAGUUCACCAUUUCAAAGUCACACAGAUGGCAGAAUUGACACUUAGACUAAAUUCUGGAGGGGAAAAAACAGC